Molecule: ribosomal RNA, 253 nt
Filed under: uncultured bacterium
Lineage: Bacteria
Description: partial 16S ribosomal RNA
Rfam family: Bacterial small subunit ribosomal RNA
Source: RNAcentral
UACGUAGGGGGCAAGCGUUGUCCGGAAUCAUUGGGCGUAAAGAGCGUGUAGGCGGCCUGAUAAGUCGGCUGUGAAAGUCAAGGGCUCAACCCUUGAAUGCCGGCCGAUACUGUCAGGCUAGAAUCCGGAAGAGGCGAGUGGAAUUCCUGGUGUAGCGGUGAAAUGCGCAGAUAUCAGGGGGAACACCUAUGGCGAAGGCAGCUCGCUGGGACGGUAUUGACGCUGAGACGCGAAAGCGUGGGGAGCGAACAGG